Molecule: ribosomal RNA, 514 nt
Filed under: Mesomexovis spadix
Lineage: Eukaryota; Metazoa; Arthropoda; Arachnida; Scorpiones; Vaejovidae
Description: eukaryotic LSU rRNA
Rfam family: Eukaryotic large subunit ribosomal RNA
Source: RNAcentral
CCAAGGAGUCUAACAUGUGCGCGAGUCGUCGGGUCUUGAAUAGGCCCGCAGGCGAAAUGAAAGUGAAGGGUGACCUUGUCGUCGCCUGCGUUGGGAUCCCCGGACCACAGCGUCCGGGGCGCACCAACGGCCCGUCCCGUCCGCGACGUCGGUGGGACGGAGCGAGAGCGUACACGUUGGGACCCGAAAGAUGGUGAACUAUGCCUGGGCAGGACGAGGCCAGAGGAAACUCUGGUGGAGGUCCGCAGCGAUUCUGACGUGCAAAUCGAUCGUCAGACCUGGGUAUAGGGGCGAAAGACUAAUCGAACCGUCUAGUAGCUGGUUCCCUCCGAAGUUUCCCUCAGGAUAGCUGGCGCUCGAGGGAGUCAGUCUCAUCCGGUAAAGCGAAUGAUUAGAGGCCUUGGGGCCGAAACGACCUCAACCUAUUCUCAAACUUUCAAUGGGUGAGAAGUCCGGUUUACAUGACUGAAGCCCGGACAAUUCUCAGGAUGCGAGUGCCCAGUGGGCCACUUUU